RNAcentral lists this non-coding RNA (956 nucleotides) under Trogloglanis pattersoni (toothless blindcat). RNAcentral's name for it is "12S ribosomal RNA". It matches the Rfam family "Bacterial small subunit ribosomal RNA". The record is from RNAcentral. Lineage: Eukaryota; Metazoa; Chordata; Actinopteri; Siluriformes; Ictaluridae.
CAAAGGCUUGGUCCUAGCUUUACUAUCAGCUUCAGCCCGAUUUAUACAUGCAAGUCUCCGCACCCCUGUGAGAAUGCCCUCAGACCCCUGCCCUGGGAUGAGGAGCGGGCAUCAGGCACACCAUAUUAGCUCGCCCAAGACGCCUUGCUACGCCACCCCCCCAAGGGAACUCAGCAGUAAUAGACAUUAAGCUAUAAGUGCAAACUUGACUUAGUCAGGGCCACCAGGGCCGGUAAAAUUCGUGCCAGCCACCGCGGUUAUACGAAAGGCCCAAGUUGCUAGCCACGGCGUAAAGGGUGGUUAAGAUAAAACAGCAAGAUUAAAGCCAAAGAUCUCCUAAGCCGUCAUACGCACUCCGGAGGUACGAAGUCCUAAUACGAAAGUAGCUUUAAAACAUACCUGACCCCACGAAAGCUAAGAAACAAACUGGGAUUAGAUACCCCACUAUGCUUAGCCUUAAACCCAGAUGUACUUCUACACACUCAUCCGCCCGGGUACUACGAGCACAGCUUAAAACCCAAAGGACUUGGCGGUGUUUCAGACCCACCUAGAGGAGCCUGUUCUUUAACCGACAAUCCCCGUUAAACCUCACCACUUCUUGUUUUCCCAGUCUAUAUACCGCCGUCGUCAGCUUACCCUGUGAAGGCCUGGCAGUAAGCAAAAUAGGCCCACCCAAAAACGUCAGGUCAAGGUGUAGCAUAUGAAGUGGGAAGAAAUGGGCUACAUUUUCUAUAACUAGAAUACAAACGAAUGGUACUAUGAAAGCCUAGUGCUGGAAGGUGGAUUUAGCAGUAAAAAGCAAAUAGAGCGUCCUUUUGAAUUAGGCUCUGAAACACGCACACACCGCCCGUCGCUCUCCCCAUAAUCUCACUCAACAUCUCUAAUACGUCAAAAACUAACCACGGGGAGACAAGUCGUAACAUGGUAAGUGUAUCGGAAGAUGCACUUGGAAUAAC